This 497-nucleotide ribosomal RNA is filed under the name uncultured bacterium. Its description in RNAcentral is "partial 16S ribosomal RNA". It matches the Rfam family "Bacterial small subunit ribosomal RNA", at positions 28 to 507 of the family's 1533-position model. The record is from RNAcentral.
GAUGAACGCUGGCGGCGUGCCUAAUACAUGCAAGUCGAGCGAACAGAUGAGGAGCUUGCUCCUCUGACGUUAGCGGCGGACGGGUGAGUAACACGUGGAUAACCUACCUAUAAGACUGGGAUAACUUCGGGAAACCGGAGCUAAUACCGGAUAAUAUAUUGAACCGCAUGGUUCAAUAGUGAAAGACGGUUUUGCUGUCACUUAUAGAUGGAUCCGCGCCGCAUUAGCUAGUUGGUAAGGUAACGGCUUACCAAGGCGACGAUGCGUAGCCGACCUGAGAGGGUGAUCGGCCACACUGGAACGGAGACGCGGUCCAGACGCCUACGAGAGGCAGCAGUAGGGAAUCGGCCGCAAUAGGCGAAAGCCUGGCGGAGCAACGCCGCGUGAGUGAUGAAGGUCUUCGGAGCGUAAAACUCUGUUAUUAGGGAAGAACAAAUGUGGAAGUAACUAUGCACGUCGUGACGGUACCUAAUCAGAAAGCCACGGCUAACUACGUG